UUACGGCCAUAUCAGUUUGAAACACCAGUUCCUGUACGAUCAGCGAAGUUAUGCAACGUCGAGUUUAGUACCUAGAUGGGUGACCGCUUGGGAAUACCAGGGGCUGUAAG
Acanthosepion pharaonis is the source of this 110-nucleotide non-coding RNA. The record is from the annotation of a GenBank genome assembly. NCBI's taxonomy places the organism in Eukaryota, Metazoa, Mollusca, Cephalopoda, Sepiida, Sepiidae.